This 8045-nucleotide long non-coding RNA is filed under the name Populus trichocarpa (black cottonwood). RNAcentral's name for it is "long non-coding RNA (PTRI_LNC000750)". The record is from RNAcentral. Lineage: Eukaryota; Viridiplantae; Streptophyta; Magnoliopsida; Malpighiales; Salicaceae.
AAGGAACCAAUUUUGUGAAAAAUGAGAAACAUGAUGCAAAGUAAGACCACUGAUACAAAAUGCUAAUUAGCAAGAAAAAGAGAGUUAUUUAAGCUCACUACGCUACCUAGUAGCCCUAGGCAAUGGCAAGAGAAAGAGAGGAAGCCAAUUGAAAAGGUUCAAGGAUAUCUCCUGAAGCAUAUCCCGAAAAUAAAACAAAUGGGACAACUCCAUUAUCGUCCUCUCGAUAAAGAAUCCAUGCACACUCAGAGUUGCUUAUCGUUAGGUGCUCUUGAUAUCCUAGAGGCAAAGGCUAGGGAUCGGCCCUUAAAAACAUCGCAAAGGUUAGUUAGGCCAACUCUUUACACUAGAGCUUGUAAAGAGUUGGCCUAACUUCUCAGUCCUAUCUCGAAACUAGGGUUUUAAGUUUCAAGCUGUGUUUCAUUUUGAUGCCGGUCAAUUUUAACCCGCCGUGCAUAUAAUUGGGUAGGUGGCUCCGAGCUCCUAGUUGGAAGACGUGUGGACACAAGGAUACAGCACAACCUUGUCUUCGAUGGUGACAAAGUUAGCAUCAAAACCAUGGGAAGGCACUGCUUUGUUGCCCCAUAUCAAUCAUGUUGCACUAUAUCAAUAGCUUGCGAACGAAAACAUGUGAUCAAGCUCAGCAUUGUUGUCCACUUGUCAGCUCUUAAUAGCACCACGUGUCCCUUAUUGUGCCUCAAGUCUCUCCACGAAUAAUUAUGCCGGGGCCAGAAGGGAAGCUAUCAUGACAAAAAUGGGCAUAAGACAGGACCAGCUAAUGUGAAGUCAACUCUCAUAGUUGCCCUAGCCCACCAGAAACAGUUUUCAAUUUUCACGACUACAUUAUUAGCAUUCCACUGAAUGCUAGAAGGGCGAAAUUAGCCCACCUCACAAAUUGACACCUCUGAGAUUUAUGGCUAUAAAUUUGGAUGAUAUACCAGGGCAUGUUUCAGCUUCCUUAUGAGCACUUCUGGUUCGUUCUGUGAUCACUGAAGAGAAUGGAGAGCAUUUCUGCCAUAAAUCUGGUUCUUGUAAAAAUGUGCCUGCACCAGAGAUAAUCGUCAACCAUCAGACUAAAAUAUGCAGAGUUUCAAUACUGGUAAAUACAAGGGCAUUUCUGCCUCUUUGACGGGAUAAAUCUUGAGUCUUGGGCCUCUUGGCUCUAUCUGUCGGAAGUUGCCAGAUUUCAUAAAUAGACUUCACCGGUCAGUGUCAGUAAACAAAGUGAUCGAUCAAUCUAGAUUCCUAAGCUACUUGUUUUUCCUGCUCUUCCUCUCCAUUUUAUCCAUGGGUACUACUACUCUAUACCCCAGGCUCUCAUUUUUCGUGCUAAUGAUCAUGCUAGUAGUCAAUCAGCUCUCAAGUUGCCACUUCAUUCACAGCAGAACAAGUGAAGAACCAGGGAAAACAGUCGAAACUGAUCUUUCUUCCCACUUCUCAUGGAAAUUCAAAGAAAUGGUUCGAGAGAGAUCUAGCAAAGAUGAGUCAGACACAAUUUAUCGAGUUUCUCGUCGAAAAAUCCCAGCAGGGCCAAAUCCACUUCAUAACUGAAGAUAUGUAUUUGUCAAUGUUGUUCUAGUGAUGCAGACAUACAGCAGUUUAUAAUGUAAUAUUACUUCCUCGUAUUCUUUCUACGUUUGGCUAACAUGAACAUAGAGACAGUGGGAAAAAGUAAAUGGGCAUACGCACACAUUUGAGCUAAUCCACAACUAGUCUCACAGAUUGCUAGAGGAUGCAUUUUCUGGUGGGCUAUCACAGCCUCAGUGAAGAUACAAGGCUUUUAUGUAUUUUCUCUGUUAGUUUGGCAGAGGCAGGUCAAACUUCAGUACUUCAACUCCCAAGAUCUGAUGCUGAGUCCUCAGUACACAACGACAACAGUUGAUCUCUUGUAUUGGUUCUAGCCACUAGCUAUAGUUCUCUUCCCCCCCUAAAAUACACUAUGCCUUGAGAAGAAGACAGGAAUCAAAGAAUGCUCAGUUUGACUCCCUGAAAAUACACUGUGCAAAGCCCAUGAGCAGUCGUUUUUACUUUACUAUUUCAUUAGUAAAAUUGGCUUAACAUUUUUGUUCUUUUUGAAAAUGAAGGGAAUUCCUCUCUCUAAGUCACAGUGCAUGCAAGGAUCCAAGAUGUAGCUAGCAUGAUUUUUGAAGAAUUUUGAGAGAAGUCUUUCUCUUUUCUUAAUCUUACUAGCAGUAUGUUUGUACAAUAAAUAGGGAAGAAAAGCUAACCUACUGACCCUCAAAACAAGAAAUAAAUACUAGAUAGGAAAGUAUCCUGCACUAAACUAGAAAGCAAUAAUCUAGAGAAUCUGGAUAGUUAAUACCAGAUUCUCUUUCCUAAACCAUAUAUACUAAUACUUCUCUAAGAUCCUAACUGAUUUUGAGACUGAUUUCCACACUCCCCCUCAAGCUGGGUUGUAUAUGUUAUACAUGCCCAGCUUGUGACUCAAUUCCUCAAAAUUAGUUCUUGGUAGAGCUUUGGUGAGGAUGUCUGCAAUCUGAGAUUUUGUUGGAGUGUAGAUGAGGUUAACAAUGUUCUUCUCAAUCUUUUCUGUGAUGAAGUGUCGAUCUAUUUCAAUGUGCUUUGUCCUAUCAUGAUGAACUGGAUUCUUUGCUAUGCUUAUGGUUGCUUGAUUAUCACAAUGCAUCUGGAUAGGUGUCAAUGAUUCCAUGCCAAGUUCCUUAAGUAAUCUUUGUAUCCACAUUCCUUCACAGAUACCAAGAGCUAGAGCUCUCAGCUCAGAUUCUGCACUGCUUCUAGAUACCACAUGUUGUUUCUUGCUUCUCUAAGUUACUAGAUUUCCCCAAACAUAGGAGCAAUAUCCAGAAGUAGAUCUCCUAUCUAUAAUGUUUCCUGCCCAGUCUGCAUCUGUGUAGAUUUCAAUAUUUCUGUUGUCACAUUUCUUGUAUAGAAGGCCUCUACCAGGAGUCAUUUUUAGGUACCUCAAGAUUCUAUUAAUUGCUACCAUAUGAUCUUCUGUCGGGUUGUUCAUGAAUUGGCUUACAAAACUGACAGCAAAGCCAAUAUCAGGUCUGGUAUGUGAGAGAUAGAUGAGUCGACCCACAAGUCUUUGAUAUCUCCUCCUAUCCACUGGUAUACUAUCAUUUUCUGCUCCUAUCUUCUUUGUUGAAUCCAUUGGAGUGUCUGCAGGUUUGCAUCCAAGCAUUCCUGUUUCUUUUAAUAGAUCCAAGAUAUAUUUUCGUUGAGAAACAUAUAUACCUUUCCUUGACCGUGCCACUUCCAUGCCAAGGAAGUAUUUGAGAUACCCAAGGUCUUUGAUCUCAAAUUCCUUGGCUAAAAGUUUCUUCAGUCUCACCAAUUCUUCCUCAUAAUCCCCAGUUAAGAUGAUGUCAUCCACAUAUACUAUUAGGAUUGCUAUUUCCUUUUCUGGAGAGGUUUUUACAAACAGUGUGUGGUCUGUUUGGCAUUGGAAAUAUCCAUAUUGUGCUACUGUCUUUGUAAAUCUGUCAAAUCAUGCUCGAGGGGAUUGUUUGAGUCCAUAUAGUGAUUUUUUCAGUCUGCAUACUCUGUUGACGUUGGAGGAUGUUUCCAGUCCUGGAGGAAUCUCCAUGUAUACUUCUUCUACCAAGUCUCCAUUAAGGAAAGCAUUUUUGAUGUCUAGUUGAUGUAAUGGCUAGUCUUGGUUAGCUGCUAGGGACAGAAGCACUCUGAUUGUAUUAAGUUUGGCCACUGGAGCAAAUGUUUCUUGAUAAUCUAUUCCAUAGGACUGAGUAAACCCUUUUGCAACCAGACGAGCUUUUAACCUUUCAAUACUUCCAUCAGCCUUAUGUUUGAUAGUAAAUAACCAUUUACACCUAACUGGUUUCUUUCCAGGUGGAAGUUCAGAAAUUUCCCAAGUUCUAUUCUUGUUUAAGGCACUGAUUUCAUCACUCACUACCUUUCUCCACCCUGAAUCUUUGAGAGCUUCUUCAAUAGACUUAGAAAUCUGUACACUGUCAAUGGCUGACACAAAUGCAUGAUAGGUUGGUGAUAACCCUUCAUAUGAAACAAAUUUGCUGAUGGGAUAACUUGUGCAUGAUCUAACACCCUUUCUCAAAGCAAUUGGAAUAUUUGAAUCAUCAAUAACAGAGGCAGUAUUCUCACAUUCAGAAGUUUCCAUACCUGAGUAUAUUGGGGUAGAAUCUGGACUUGGUUCUGAAUUUUGGUCAUGUGCAAGAGGUAUUGUGUGCUCUAUCUCCUUUCCAAGUUUUUUCCUUCUAGAAUAGGUAAGAAGCUCAUGAUUUAUGAUCUGUUUUGGUGUAGGAUGAAUCUGGUCAAGAGAUUGGACUGAGGCUGGUGGUGCUGGGAUUGAUUGGGUUAAGGCUGGAGGUGUAGUGUAAGGACUCAAAUGACUUUGGACAAAACUCUGUUGGUUGUCUCCUGAGUUAAUUACAUGAUCAGAUUGUAUAUCCCAAUUCUGAUAUUCUCUUAUGGUUGCCCCCUGAAGAUCAAACUUGGGAUAGUAUGCUUGAUGUUCAAAAAAUAUGACAUCCAUAGAAGUAUAGACCUUUUUUAGAAUAGGAGAAUAACAUUUAUAACCCUUUUGGUGUGGAGAGUAUCCUAUAAAAAUGCACUUGAGAGAGGUAGGGUCUAAUUUUCCUCUAUGGUGUAUAUGAACAAACAUUGAGAAACCAAAUACUUUAGGGUCUAAGGAAGAGAGUAGUUUGGUAUAUGGAAAGGCUUGUAGAAGGACUUGGCUGGGAGUUCUGAAGUUUAGAACUCUGGAAGGCAUUCUGUUGAUGAGAUAGGUUGCUGUGAGUACAGCUUCUCCCUAGAAUUGUUUUGGCACAUGAGUAGAGAGCAUAAGGGAUCUAGCAACUUCCAACAGAUGUCUAUUCUUCCUUUCAGCCACUCCAUUUUGUUGUGGAGUGUUAACACAAGAGCUUAUAUGGAUAAUGUCUUGACUUAGACAAUAAGUAUUAAGGCUAGAAUUGAAAUAUUCUUUGGCAUUAUCAGUUUUUAGGAUUUGGAUUUUAGUCUGGAAUUGGGUUUGUAUUAUGGCAUGGAAGUUUUGAAAAAUUUGGCUGACUUCAGAUUUUUCUUUCAUAAGAAAUAACCAAGUCAAUCAAGUGUGAUCAUCAACAAAGGAGACAAACCAUCGAGUUCCAGUUAUAUUGUGCACUUGUGAGGGGCCCCAUACAUCACUAUGAAUCAUUACAAAUGGAUGUGAUGGUUUAUAUGAAAUGGUGGGAUAGCUACUGCGAACAUGUUUAGAGAGUUGACAUAUUUCACAUUUGAAGGAUUGUGAGCUUUUAUUGGAAAAGAAGGAUGGAAACAGACUUUCAAGGUACAUGAAGUUUGGAUGACCAAGAUGAUAGUGCCAUAACAGAACUUCACUAUCUUUAUUGACAUGAAAAUUUAAAGCUGACUGACCCUUGGAUGAUACAUAGCUUCUGGUUUGAGUUUGUCUUCUUAAAGGAAUCUCACUUUUGAGUAGAUAGAGCCCAGAACACAUCUUAGCACUGCCAAUCUUCUUCCCCGUAUCCAAAUCCUGAAAUAAACACAAAUGAGGAAAGAAUUUAGCAACACAAUUCAGGUCACGAGUCAAUUUGCUAAUUGAGAGUAGGUUGCAGUCUAGGUUAGGAACAUGGAGAAUAGAGUUUAGGAUCAUGUCCCUUAAGAGUCUGCUCAAGCCUAUUCCCUUAACUUGGGAGGAAGACCCAUCAGCUAUAUGGACUGUAGAAUUAUUAGUACACUGAUUGUAUUCAUUAAGAAGAGUGGCAUCUCCUGUCAUAUGGUCUGAUGCUCCGGAGUCGAUGAUCCAAGGGCUUGAGUGUUUCUUACUAACAGUAAGGGCUGUUGAAAAUUUACCUUUUUGUGCUAACAGUCCAGAUCCAGAACCAGAGGCUGACAUAUUUGGUUGAGACAGUGAAUUUUGACUGAAGAGUUUCUGUAAGAUCUCAAGUUGUUCCUUGCUGAAAAGACUUGUUUCUAUUGGCAAAAUGGUGUUCUUAUCUCGGUUAUUGUUUGAGAUAACAUUGUUGGCACAUCUGUCUUUGUCAUUUAUUGAUUUUGAUGGUUUCCAAUCAGCAGGUUUGCCAUGAAUCUUCCAGCAGUUUUCCUUGACAUGUCCUGGUUUGUUGCAGUGAUCACACUAGGGUCUUCCUUUCCUCUGUCGAUUGUCAUAGUUGCUGUUUGAAUAGCCUCGAGCAGCAAGGGCAGAUCCUUCCAUUAUCUGAGCUGAGUUGUGAGGUCCCAUCAUUACUUUCUUUCUACUUUCUUCACAUCUAACCUCAGAGAAUGCUUCUCUGAGAUUUGGAAGAGGUUUGGUUCCCAUUAUUCUUCCUCUAACUUCAUCAAGGUUCUUGUUGAGCCCAAGAAGAAAUUUGAAAGUUCUUUUCUGCUCAGUAAUUCUUUUAUAUAGGACUGUGUCUUCAGGGCAAUUCCAGCUGUGAAUUUCAAACAUAUCUAGGUGCUGCCAAUGACGGCAGAGAGUGUUGAAGUAUUGAGUAAUAGAAAGUUCUCCUUGGCGUAGAUCAUGUAACACUGCCUCAAUCUCAAACAGUUCUGAUGUAUUUUCAGAACUUGAGUAGGUUUCUCUUGUUGCUUCCCAGAUUUCCUUUGUUGUUCCAUAUAGGAGAAAAUUUUCUCCAAUUUCAUUGGUCAUUGAAUUGAUCAGCCAUGACAUUACCAUAUGAUUUUCAGUCUUCCAUGUUCGAAACAUGGGAUCAUUCUUUUCUGGUAUGAUGAUAUCCCCUGUGAGGUAGUCAUCUUUGCCCUUUCCACAAAUAAACAUCAUGACUGAUGAUGACCAUUGAAGAUAAUUAUAUCCAUUGAGUUUGUACCCUGUGAUUUGGUGUGAUGUGCCUUCAGUGCCUCCUGAAAGGCUACCAUGAGAGGUUGUUCCUGGCUGUGAGGUCACCUCAGAGAGAGAGCUUUGUCCUGCUGCUGCCAUGCCUUAGAGAAGUAGAUUAGGGUUCAGGAGUAGGCUCUAAUACCAUGAAGAAUUUUGAGAGAAGUCUUUCUCUUUUUUUAAUCUUACCAGCAGUAUGUUUGUACAAUAAAUAGGGAAGAGAAGCUAACCUACUGACCCUCAAAACAAGAAAUAAAUACUAGAUAGGAAAGUAUCCUACACUAAACUAGAAAGCAAUAAUCUAGAGAAUCUGGAUAGUUAAUACUAGAUUCUCUUUCCUAAACCAUAUAUACUAAUACUUCUCUAAGAUCCUAACUGAUUUUGAGACUGAUUUCCAUAAUUUUAAAAAUAAAGGCAAUUCAAACAGUUUAAUUACUCACUAAUGUCAAAUAAUAUAUUAUUACUAUUCUCUUCAGGUAUACAGUCCAAUAGUAAACUUGAUGUUUUUUAAAGGAAAAAAAAAAGAAAAAGAUUAGGAGAGGCAUUGACACUGCUGUAAAUUCAUUUUUCUAUCACUGGCUUCGAAGAAUCAGUUGGGAUAGACAGAUUGAACAGUCACAGGUAUGCUGCUCAGUUUAAACGAUGUCCCAAGAGACAAAUCGAGACUUAUCUUCACUAGAUAUAGAGAUUCAACCUUUAGACAGAAGCAAGCAAGUCGGCCUUCAAUUCAAACCAUCACCUUUAGCUGCUGUUUUGACAAGUGCAUCAAAUAGAAAUUAAUUGAAAAAUGCUAAGUGGAUGAAGAAAAGAAAUGUUCGAUGUAACAUUUCAAAUCCAGUUUAGAAGUUGUAAAAUUAAAUCCUAUUUUUUCAACAUGCAUCUACAUGUUCAAACGAAUAUUAGGUGUCUACCCAGAUUGAGUGGGAGUAACGUUUUGAAAAACUUAAUUUUAAAAGCUUAAACUAUAACAUCAGAAUUACAAAGUAAAGUAUAAAUUCCGAGAGAGAGUCCAAUAUUCAAGAUAGGACACUGAAGCAUCCAUGGAUAAUUUAAAGACUGGUACUUGAAAGGUGAACAGAAGACAAAAAUUCUUACUUCUUUGUAUCCAGUGCUACUCACAAAUAUCUCAAAGACCUCUGCUGCAAAAUAUACCAACGAGAAGCAGUCAAAAAAGUGGAAGUAAGUGGCUUACCUCUCCUUUACGAGAUAUACGAAGCAUAUCAUCUUCAGCUUCAGAUUCAUAAUCCACAUU